This 316-nucleotide long non-coding RNA is filed under the name Vigna radiata. RNAcentral's name for it is "long non-coding RNA (VRAD_LNC009869)". Lineage: Eukaryota; Viridiplantae; Streptophyta; Magnoliopsida; Fabales; Fabaceae. The record is from RNAcentral.
AGAAUUGGAAAACUGGUAUUAGUUGGACUGUCUCUGAGGCAUUUUCACAAACAGGUUGUGGUAAUAGCAUAUUAACUAUGAUUGCACCUCUUUCGUUACUUGAGUCUGUUUGUUUGUUUUUAAAUCUGUUCCAGCACCAUUCCUAGGUUCAUUUUGAUGUGCCACCGUGAUUGAAUUCCUUUUUAUUGCUUUAAAUUUAGUUGUUGAAAAUUCUUGCCUACCACCUGUUUGUUAAAAGGUGUUGUAGUGCAGUUUCUGUGUUAACAUUUUCUGGCAGCAACCACGUUUUGAGCAAUCAUCUCUAGAAUAAUUUGUG